UCUGUCGCCUCUCUCAUCAGCCACACCUCGCCUUCCCUACAGUUUCCCGAACAACCGAGUCUCUUCACCGGGAUUUCCAUUGGCAGAAACACUUCGUGUGAUCGUCUGCCCCUCUUGGACCUUUCGGCUUCGGAACUUAACCCUACGCUUCUUAUUGGUUUGGCCCUUUCCGAAGGGCCUGCAGGCUUGCGUUCGCGGUCCGCCCCGUCGUGCUUUUUAGGCCCGUCUAGUUUUGCUGGCGCAGAAACCCGACAGUUCGCUGGAAGGCUCUCAUUCCUCGCGUCCGCUGAAAAGUUGUCGCGGGACCGGCAUCAUGAUGGGCUGACCGGCGCUAUACGGGGCACUUCCAGUCACCGUUUGCCCUGUCUCUUCGAAGACGGGGUGGUGGGCAAGCGCGCGGACCCAUGAGUCCGUAAGAUAAGAACCUCUGGCCUGAGGUCACUCGUCAGGCCGCGCCACUGGACUCAGCACCCUGAUCACCGCUUGUGGGUUGCCAUCUUGGUCAAAGUCGGAUGCAAAAUGGCUGUCUUGGACGGGUGCGUGUUCGUCCAGCGAGAGCUCUCCUUUCGAUUUUUCGUGUCUCGCUCCAUACUCUGGGGCUCGAGACUCCCAGACGAGAAGUGGAGGGCAGCUUGGGCCACAACGGACAGAGCAGUGGGCGUUUCGCAGAACAUCUGUGCCAGCAAUUCACCUUGCCUGAAUCAGCCAGACUCUCGUUUUCUCGGUCUGAGUAAGGAUUGUCUCUGGCUCCUCACGGAAACUCCCGCUGCUCUGUUAACAUAUACAUGCCCUUGCUGUCACCCUCCCGGAAACUCUUCGUCCUGGGCUGCCUUGGCAGGAAAUGGACAGCUCCGCCGCCGGUACUCACCUGCCACAGUCUCGCUCAUAGACGUCCAGUGGCCUCGCUCCCGCUGGCUAUUGCUGCCGUGCGGGGACGUGACAUGUUGCAUGUGGCCCACGAUCAGACGCAUCAACCUGUCGGCCAGCGCUGCUUUGUCUUGCUGGCCCGACAGGCCGCCAUUACCAAGGGCCGUGUCAUGCGGUUCUUCUCCUUUUCCUCCGGUUCAAGAACUGCAGAGAUGAUAGCGCGGUUUUUACAGAUGGUUUUGUCUGCGCGGAAACCAUGCCCUAGUCUCUGAUUUUUCACGAGAUGAAGGCAACAAAAUCUAGUCUUCGUCGGCAGUGUGCAACAACGGACAGAGCUUCUUUCGCCAGGUUUGGACCUGAGUCCACUGAGGGGGGGCCGAGAGCACGGAGAGGGCCGGGACCACCUCCAGGGGUGGUUGUGGAUUUCCGCCUUCUUGCAAGAGCCUGGGCUAGUCAGUUUAUGAGGAACAGGUGUCCCGGACUCGCUUCCGGGCGGUGAGUCGUGGGGUGGGUGCUGGCGUGCAGACGAAGUAUGCGAAGCGUGGACCAGAGCUGCUACUGAUUCGAGGGCUCCAUGUCCGAUCCUGCCGUCUCUACUCUCGCUUGCAUCUGUCUGGGGUAACUUCACGCCGUGGGAAGCAUGGCUUCGGGACCCAUCUCGAGUUGGAGUCAGAGCUUCGUGCUCGUCUGGGCCUGUCGAACACGGCGGGGCUGCUUUCUCGGCCGAUUCGAGCUCGGGAAGAGAUGCUGCAGACGGACAGUUUCUGGGGGGGAGGCGAGCUUUCCUCGUGGUGGCAGCUCUUUGGACAAGGGACGGGGCUUUGUGGUUAAGCCGUCCCGGCUGCUCUCUCGCCUGGAAGAUGGUGCAGAGAGCAGCCCUCCUGGUUUUGAGG
RNAcentral lists this telomerase RNA (1760 nucleotides) under Grosmannia clavigera kw1407. Its description in RNAcentral is "Ascomycota telomerase RNA". It matches the Rfam family "Ascomycota telomerase RNA", at positions 188 to 1858 of the family's 1858-position model. Lineage: Eukaryota; Fungi; Ascomycota; Sordariomycetes; Ophiostomatales; Ophiostomataceae. The record is from Rfam by way of RNAcentral.